RNAcentral lists this long non-coding RNA (5401 nucleotides) under Sus scrofa (pig). Its description in RNAcentral is "lncRNA (ENSSSCG00050053718.1)". The record is from RNAcentral. Lineage: Eukaryota; Metazoa; Chordata; Mammalia; Artiodactyla; Suidae.
ACAUCUGAGAAAACUUUUUGUUUGUCUGCCAUAACCAGAGCAGCAUGUCCCAGAUAGAAGCUGUUCCAUCAGCCUCAUUUCCAGAAUGAAGAGGAAUGAAUGGAAAGCAGAGAUGCAGUUAAAGCAUACUGGUUUUACCACACUUGGAAGUAAUCUCUCACCUUCUGAACAACCAUGACAUCCCUCCAAAAUGUCCAUCCCCCACUGGUGGUUACUCUGAAAUAUUACUCAGUCUACUGAGCAGUGAAAGCUGACUCAAGGUAGAAGAAAAGGCAAUGCAGAGAAAAGAAAUUGCAUGAACAAUGGCAUGGAUGUUUUGGAGAGAAAUGAGUGGAUUGGUGUAAUGAAGCAUGCACUAUGACACAAAAAUGGGUAAGAGUUGUCAGGAAAUGUGGCUCGAGUGGUAAGAGUGAACCAAGGUUCUAUAUAAACCCAUAAACUCACACUAAGCAAUGGGAACUCCACCCUUUAGCAAUGGGCCGUCAGUGAAGAGGCAGAAAAUUCACUGACAGCCAGUUGGAAGAUAGUGAGGGAUAGCUGUUGGAAGCAGGGAGAAUAAUUUAGACAGUAGUGAUGUUCCAGAAAAGAGGCUGAACACUGAAACAGAGGUGAGCAGGGAGAAAGUUUAAAGAUAUAGUCUCAUUCAAUUUAUAAGUUUCUAGUCCUGAUGAAAUACUCCGAGUCAAAGUGAAGAAAUGGAUGACGAGGAUGUGUCUUACAAAAGAGAAGAGAAACAUGUGACAGCUUUAGGUGAAUAAAAAAUUUUCAUCCUAUGAAAAAGAUGACAUUCAUUCUUGGGAAGAUGCAACUCUAAGGCCCUGAGCUCUUGAUUCAGAAUACAUGGAUUUAAAACUACUCUUGGAGUUCCCAUUGUGGCUCAGUGGUAUUGAACCCAACUAGUAUCCAUGAGGACAGGGUUCAAUCCCUGGCCUUACUCAGUGUGUUUAGGAUCUGGUGUUGCCAUGAGCUGUGGUGUAGGUCAUAGACGUGGUUCAGACCUGGCGUUGCUAGGCUGUGGCAUAGGCCAGUUGCUGCACUUCUGAUUAGGCCCCUAGCCUGGGAACUUCCAUAUGCUACAGGUGCAGCCCGAAAUAGCAAAAAAAAAAAGGGGGGGGGGGGAGAGGGACUGUCAUGAGGAUUAAAUGAGAUAAUGCAUGUAAAACUCAAGAGUACCUGGCACAUCUUAAAGCCUCAAGAAGAAUCACACCUUAGAAGUGGUAGUAGACAUUACCAACCUCCAAAGAUGCAUUGACAGCCAAUUCAUCCUAUUUACCCUAAAACAUUCAGAUUAUCUGUUUUGCUUUUUUUUAAUGGAUGUGGAAUCCCAAGAGGAUCAAUUAAACAUAGAAGCAGUCCAUUUUUAAAAGAAAGUCUUUUUGUUGCUGUUGUUAUAUUCAAAAAUUUAUUCAAUCAGUGAAAGAGAAAGAGAUCAAUGUCUACAGCCUUAAAAAUAGGAUGCAAUUAAGUGCUUCUAACAAGGCUCCAGUAGUCUGAUGGUAAGUGUAGAAAGACCAGCUUAAUGAAAUGUCAUGGGGACACUGCUUAUAACAAUCAUAUGCCCUGGAUGCCAAAUGGAGCUGUACCUGCUGGCAAAACAGUUAUAGGGGAAAAGAACAAAAGCCUGCCAGCUGUUAAGAAAUAGAACAGAAUGAGGCUCAGGGCCCUAGGGGAAGGUGGAAAAUUAACACAGCCUCUGUGUCUUACUUAUGUUUUCCUUACCACUGUGCUUUUCUUUUCUGGAUUUAAAAUUGUGCAUUGCCCACUAGGUGGGGGCUCUUUUAGAAAAGUAGCAUUGGACCUAGCCUGGACAUUGCAAAUUUGGAGAUCAGGGUGGGAAUAAGAUUGUAUAGAACCAGGGAUGAGGUGUACCUUGCAAGGCUUUAUAGCUAUUCUUAUCAUUUGCUUCAUUAUUUCCCCCUGAAUUCACUUUUUAUUCCUCUGUGGCCAGUUAACUUACCUUAGGCUUCUGCUCAUUCAUGUCUCUCUCAAAGGAAAGCGUGUAUGAGACAUCAUCUCUAAAUAGUUCAUCUAAAAUUUUUCUCUCUCAAAUCUCCCAGGGAUUUUCUUGCAUUACCCCACUUCAUUUUCCUUACAGCAUGUAUCUGUUUAUAAGACACCAUUCAUUCAUUUUUUUGGAUUGUUUACUGAUCUGUUAUUUGUCUUGCCCUCUGUGAUGCAAGUUCCAUGUGAACACAAAGCAUGUAUCCCUGCUCUGUGUACCACUGGAACCUCAGCCAUCACUGCAAUAUCUAGCAUACAUUCAAUGCUUGAGAUAUAUGCAGACUGAAUUUUUUGACCUAUAAACAUAAAUUAUUUUUGAUGCUGCCUGGCACACCUACUUUAUGUCCUACUCUCAGAGAUUAUUUAUUACUUACCUUCUCCAUUUGCCUCAUUGUUUACUUUAAUUAAAGUUGCUUUUAUAUUUUUGUCUUUUAGUCUUUGCGCUGUUUAUAUAUAUAUUUUUUACCUCUUUGAGCAUUAUGAACAUACUGCUAAUUUUGUCACAUUCAUCAUUUCUGAGUCUAUGUCUUUAGACUGCUUUUUCUCUUGGUUAUUGCAUGCCUUUUUAUAUACUCGAUUUUGUGAAUUUAUUAAAAUAAAACUUUAUUGACAUGCAGUCACAUUCAUUUGUUUAUAUAUUUAUCUACUUUAUUUUUUUUUAUCUAUUUUUCCUUUUUAUGGCCACAUCUGUGGCAUAUGGAAGUUCUUGGGUCAGGGGUCGAAUCAGAACUGCAGCUGCUGGGCCUGCACCACAGCCACAGCAAUGCCAGAUCUGAGCCACAACUAUGACCUAUGCCACAGCUUGUGGCAACACUGGAUAUUUACCCCACUGAGCAAGGCCAGGGAUCAAACCCACAUCCUCACAAACACUAGGCUGUGUUCUUAACCCACUGAGCCACAAAGAGAACUUCUGUAUUUCAUGUUUGGAUUGCUCUUUUUUUUUUUUUUUUUCAGUUGAGUAAAGACUUGAAGAUAUAUUUUUCCUGAGGUUUUAUUUUAAUCUUUUUUAGGAAGAUCUCUAGUACCUUUAUUAAAGGACUGAUUUUUUUUUUCUUUUUUGAGGCCUGUAGAAGUUUCCAGGCCAGGGAUUGAACUUGCACCAAGCCUUUACCUGAACCACAGAAGGGACAUUGUCAGAUCAUUAAUCACCAGGCUACCAGGGAACUCCCUAAAGGACUAAUUUAAUCUCAUUUUACAUCUUUGCUUUCUGGGUCAUCUACUGAAUGCUUGCUUAUUCGAGAAGAUAUUUCCACUUUAUCUGGAGGAAAGAUAAAUAUUUCCCGGCUCUGUGUAAGCUCUGGACAUUGUUUUUCUUAUUGUUCUAUGGUUAUUAUUAUUUCCUUAGUAUUUUUUUUUCCCUUGCUCAGAACAGUAAUGCUUUACUCAUUAACAGAUUUGUAGACAAGCAGAACUUUGUCCAGACCUAUGGACCUCUCAUUCAGCUUCAUUCUCUCUUCUCUGGAAGUCUUUUCUGCAAAUUCUAGCUAGCAUGACUUUCCUAAACUCUGAUCUCUCGCUACUCAUCUCAUUGAGAUCACUGUCUAAUGUGUGAUUUACUACCACCUCUCUGCAGCCUGGCAGUUGCCUCUAGGCAGUAACCCAGGGCCAUCAAGAGAUCACCUCCUUUUGUUCCUUUGUUUUUUUCCUGAAAUUAUCAGGGCUGCACUGAUAUUUUCUAAUGUCUGAAAGACAUUAGUUUGUAUAUUUAGUCUGAGUCUCCAUUUGUUGGAGAGAAAUCUCUUUAAUAGUUCAUGAAUGGAAAUAGAAGCCCACUCCUUUUUUGAAACACUUUUCUCCCAACCUGGUGUUAGUGACACUAUACCCUUUUAUUUUACCUAUUACCACAUAAGCUGGAUAAUGAAGCUUGCCCUCUAAGCUCUUCAGUAUAUUAUUCCUUGUAUAUUAUUCCUUACAGUGACAUAAAAUAACACAGUUAUUGGAGGAAGAAUUUAUCAAGUUGUUGUCUUUUGCAUGUUGAACAUGCAAAAAGUAUUCAAAUAAUAAAAUAAUUUCAAAAAUUUAAAAAGUAUAUUCCUCAUAUUUUCAUAAUUGGAUAGCCCCCCACCAAAUGGUGAAAUCUGUGAAUUUUUUCUUUGCAACCUCCUGGAUCAUCAUGCCACCUCCUAUCUGCUAACGCCCCUCACCACUCCUGCUGAAGAUUCAGCCACCUUGGCCUGUUCUUAUCUCAGAAACCAGCUUUCACAUUUUUUUUUUCUUAAACUGAUCUUAUUUCCAAUGAGCCUAGAUAGUUCCUAGUGCAUUUCUACAUACAUAUAAGCUGUAACUUUUACUGAUAAUAUUACAUUUGAAUAAGGACAUUUCCAUUUGGAUUCUUCAUUAGACACAAGAUCAUAUCCUGGUCCUACCAUACCACAUAUAUCUGCUGAUUUUUUCCUAUAUGACAUGGGACAAGUCAAGUAACUUUACCUAGCCUUAGUUUAUACAUUCACAAGCACAAGCUUAAAAGCCCCUUCAUAUUUUUGAUUAAAAGUUUAUGAAUAUAGAAUGAUCAACAGAUAUCUGGAAAAGUGUAGAUGUUCAUUACCUCUGGGUUUCUUUGUUCUUUGCAAGUAUUCUGAAAACUUCACCAACCUUUGAAUUUAAUCUAGUCUCACAUUACUUGCGUUCAUGAACCAUCUUUCCCAUAGUUAGUUACAGGAAGGAUUUUAAUCUGUAUCUUACUUCUUCCUUUGUUUCAGCCUUAGCUCUUUAUUUAACUGCCAGGUUUCCUCCUUAUUUGAAAUAUUAGGUAGAAAGAACACAUAUUAAAUAUAAAGAAUAAGGCACUUGAUUUUUCUUUAAAGGCUUAGGGAAACCAAAAUACUUUUGAUUGUCAGCUUAGAAAACCCAUAGUGACAGAGGCUUCAACUGGGUUAAGAACUUUGAGAUCAUAGUUGCAUGACCCAAAUUUCCCAAUACCUAGAAGGUGUAAGUACCUGUGUCUUCAGGACACGUGCUCAUUUUGAACCAGCUAAAUUGGCUCAUAAUGAAGGUCUCUGCCCUUGUUCCAAGUGUAUUUUUUUCUUAGUUUAUCUUUCAAUUGAACUUGACCAGAGCUGCAUAAGCUCAUAUAUUUGACCACCCUCUGAUACUAUAUUCACUGCUGACAAAUAUGUUAGGAAAUUCCAUACAGCAGGUAAAAAAUGUCAGAUUCAGUAAACGGUCAUUUUACCCAUAAACUGUAUCAUCUUUUAAUCUUAUCCUCAAAUCAAAUUAUUUAAGCAUAGCUCCCUAAGGACAGGCAACUAAUGUUGAGUAUAUUUUACUCAAAGCCUAUGUCAACCAACCAAAACAUGAUAAUCAUAAUAAAAUGGCUUAAGAAACUUUCCUCUUAAGCAUGCAGUAUGUAAAUUCUUAUCUAUUGAACUAGAAAGUAGGACACUCCACUUUCUGGGUUAAG